RNAcentral lists this ribosomal RNA (429 nucleotides) under Gemmatimonadota bacterium. RNAcentral's name for it is "Gemmatimonadetes bacterium partial 16S ribosomal RNA". It matches the Rfam family "Bacterial small subunit ribosomal RNA", at positions 355 to 776 of the family's 1533-position model. Lineage: Bacteria; Pseudomonadati; Gemmatimonadota. The record is from RNAcentral.
UAGGGAAUCUUCGGCAAUGGACGAAAGUCUGACCGAGCAACGCCGCGUGAGUGAAGAAGGUUUUCGGAUCGUAAAACUCUGUUGUUAGAGAAGAACAAGGACGUUAGUAACUGAACGUCCCCUGACGGUAUCUAACCAGAAAGCCACGGCUAACUACGUGCCAGCAGCCGCGGUAAUACGUAGGUGGCAAGCGUUGUCCGGAUUUAUUGGGCGUAAAGCGAGCGCAGGCGGUUUCUUAAGUCUGAUGUGAAAGCCCCCGGCUCAACCGGGGAGGGUCAUUGGAAACGGGGGGACUUGAGUGCAGAAGAGGAGAGUGGAAUUCCAUGUGUAGCGGUGAAAUGCGUAGAUAUAUGGAGGAACACCAGUGGCGAAGGCGGCUCUCUGGUCUGUAACUGACGCUGAGGCUCGAAAGCGUGGGGAGCAAACAGG